UAGAUUUGAUGUGGUGUAGAAAUGUUAAUUGUAAUAGUGAAAUGUGUAUAUAAUUGGUAUAAAAUUUAUUUGAUAUGGGUAGCUUAUAAAGGUAGAUAUUCUAUUCACGAAAGCUUGAGGUGUGACAGGGAUUAGAUACCCCAUUAAUUCAAGUGAUAAAUUAUGGCUUAUUGUAGAUUGGAUCUAUUUUUAACAUGUGAAGGUUCUUAACCUAAAGAGUACGCUUUCAUAAGUGAAACUUAAAUGUUCUGGUGGUGGUUUAAAACAAUAGUGGAAUAGAUGAUUUAAUUCGAUGUUAUGCGAUAAAGCUUAUCAGUUAUCUGAAAGAAUACCUAGGUAUAGGUAGAAUUCUAUUUUAGGUAGUGCAUGGCUGUAUUUAAAGGUAAUGUUUUGUAAUAUCUGGUUCAGUUCAGGAAUAGCCGAUACACUUCAAGAAAUAAAGGUUGCGCAUAUUAACUAAUCUUAGCUAAUUUAAUUGGGCUUGAUACUUGAAAUCACUUAUAGAUAGAAUAACGUCGAGUCAUUAUGCUCUUUUGUUCGGAGAUAUUCAUGUGUUACAAGGAGAGCUAUAUAGCUACUUAUAAAUGAGUAAAUCAAAUGUUAUCAUCCGGUAUUGAAAAUUGAAAUCUUUUUAUGAAGCAGAAAUUAUUAGGAAUCUUUGGUUAGUUAUUUAAAGGUGGACAGGAGAUAAAUUUUGCACAUACCGCCCGUCAAGCAAAAAGCAGAGAUGUAGAUGAAAACAGACCUGCACACAAGUGUGAAAUGGGCAUGCUAAUUUGUGUUAAGUCGAAACAUGGUUGCUCAUCAGGAAUGAUGAGCUGGACUUUU
This 828-nucleotide ribosomal RNA is filed under the name Gonyaulax spinifera. RNAcentral describes it as "partial Bacterial small subunit ribosomal RNA". It matches the Rfam family "Bacterial small subunit ribosomal RNA", at positions 642 to 1533 of the family's 1533-position model. The record is from RNAcentral. Lineage: Eukaryota; Dinophyceae; Gonyaulacales; Gonyaulacaceae.